RNAcentral lists this non-coding RNA (24 nucleotides) under Drosophila melanogaster (fruit fly). The record is from RNAcentral. Lineage: Eukaryota; Metazoa; Arthropoda; Insecta; Diptera; Drosophilidae.
CAAGAUAUGACCAAAACAAAGACA